This 462-nucleotide ribosomal RNA is filed under the name uncultured bacterium. Its description in RNAcentral is "bacterial SSU rRNA". It matches the Rfam family "Bacterial small subunit ribosomal RNA", at positions 29 to 506 of the family's 1533-position model. The record is from RNAcentral.
AUGAACGCUGGCGGCGUGCUUAACACAUGCAAGUCGAACGAUUAAAGCCCCCUUCGGGGGGUGUAUAGAGUGGCGAACGGGUGAGUAACACGUGGGCAAUCUGCCCCUCGCACUGGGAUAACUCCGGGAAACCGGAGCUAAUACCGGAUACUCCUUUCAGGUCGCAUGGCCUGAUCGGGAAAGCUCCGGCGGCGAGGGAUGAGCCCGCGGCCCAUUAGCUUGUUGGUGGGGUAAUGGCCCACCAAGGCGACGAUGGGUAGCCGAGCUGAGAGGCUGAUCGGCCACACUGGGACUGAGACACGGCCCAGACUCCUACGGGAGGCAGCAGUGGGGAAUCUUGCGCAAUGGGCGAAAGCCUGACGCAGCAACGCCGCGUGCGGGAUGAAGGCCUUCGGGUUGUAAACCGCUUUCAGCAGGGACGAAGAUGACUGUACCUGCAGAAGAAGCCCCGGCUAAAUACGU